UACAGAGGGUGCAAGCGUUAAUCGGAAUUACUGGGCGUAAAGCGCGCGUAGGUGGUUUGUUAAGUUGGAUGUGAAAUCCCCGGGCUCAACCUGGGAACUGCAUUCAAAACUGACUGACUAGAGUAUGGUAGAGGGUGGUGGAAUUUCCUGUGUAGCGGUGAAAUGCGUAGAUAUAGGAAGGAACACCAGUGGCGAAGGCGACCACCUGGACUAGUACUGACACUGAGGUGCGAAAGCGUGGGGAGCAAACAGG
This 253-nucleotide ribosomal RNA is filed under the name uncultured bacterium. Its description in RNAcentral is "partial 16S ribosomal RNA". It matches the Rfam family "Bacterial small subunit ribosomal RNA", at positions 524 to 776 of the family's 1533-position model. The record is from RNAcentral.